AUAUUUGAGAGUUUGAUCCUGGCUCAGGAUGAACGCUGGCGGCGUGGAUAAGGCAUGCAAGUCGUACGGAUGUAGCAGCCAGCUUCUUGCUUCUAGCUAUCAGCUAAUUUAUAAUAACCGCUAUGUCAUUUAGAUUUCGUAAAUUUAGAGUCUAUCGUGAAGCUAUUGAAUUUCACCGUUUUGUUGUGAAAAUUACAAAAAGCUUUCCAAUAGAUUUUGAUUAUCUUAGAAAGCAGUUACGCAGAGCUUCGCUUUCGGUGAUUUUAAACAUUGCCGAGGGUUCUGCUAAAAAUUCGGAUAAAGACUUUCGAAGAUAUAUUGGUAAUUCUCUUGGUUCAUUAAAUGAAGCAAUGGCGGGUUGUGAAGUAGCUUUAGUAGAAGAGUUAAUUAGCAAAAAUGAUUUUAAUUUUGCAGAAACUACAGUUGAGAAUUUAACUAAUCAGCUCGGUAGUUUUUCUAAAAAAUUAAAUUUAAAUUAGAAGCUGGUGGCAAGAAGCUGGUUGCUACAUUAGUGGCGAACGAGUUAGUAACACCCUGAUUACCUACCCUUAAGAUGGGAAUAAUUCGUCGAAAGACGAACUAAUACCCAAUAGUCUCUGAAGUCGCAAGGCCGAAGAGUAAAGGAGUAAUCCGCUUAAGGAGGGGUCUAGGUCCGAUCAGUUAGUUGGUGGGGUAAUGGCUCACCAAGACUAUGACCGGUAGGAGGGCUGAGAGGCUGUCCUCCAACGGCGAGACUGAGACACGGCUCGCACACCUACGGGUGGCAGCAGUCGAGAAUAUUCGGCAAUGGGCGAAAGCCUGACCGAGCGACGCCGCGUGCAGGAAGAAGGCCUUCGGGUCGUAAACUGCUUUUUCCGCCCAAAAAGUCCGCAAGGAUUGAUGGUAGGCGGAGAAUAAGGCGCUGCAAACUACGUGCCAGCAGCCGCGGUAAUACGUAGGCGCCAAGCGUUAUCCGGAUUUAUUGGGCGUAAAGAGUGUGUAGGGGGUCUGAUGCGUUUUUUGUUAAAUUCCGGCGCUUAACGCCGGGCAUGCAAAAAAUACGAUCAGACUAGAGGAUGUGAGAGGUCAGUGGAACGCACGGUGUAGGGGUGAAAUCCGUUGAUAUCGUGCGGAACACCAAAGGCGAAGGCAACUGACUGGCGCAUUACUGACCCUGAGACACGAAAGCGUGGGGAGCAAAAAGGAUUAGAUAAAUCCUUGUUCUAUAUUUUUAUAGAACUAAAUGGUGUCCCUUCCGACGGCGACGUCGGAAUGCGCAUCUAGCUGUAUCGGGGAAACCCUGAUAUGUCGAUUAGGGUAAUCCCGAGGGAAGUCGUCCGGCCCCUUUAGUAAGGAGUUGGAUUGACCCCGUAGAGACUAUGUAAAUCAAUAAGAUAGAAAAUGACUAAGUCAUUUUUGUCAAAACAGUGCAAAGAAGUUAUUUUAGGUUCUUUGCUUGGUGAUGGAUCGUUAAAAAUUCAUCAUCCAUACAAGAACGCUCGUUUUUCGUUUUGUCAUUCAGUCAAACAAAAAGAAUAUUUUUUCUGGAAGUUAGAACAGUUAAAAGAAAUUUCCGGAGAAAAAUGUUGGUGGGUUCAAAGUAAUAAUAAACUAGGUGGAGAUAAAGUUCGUUAUCAAAGCUUGGCUCUUGAAUCUUUAACCGAUUUAUAUCGAUUGACGCACGAAAAACAGGAGUUGCGCAUUCGCCGUAAAUGGCUGAAUAUGCUUACUCCUCUUUCAUUGGCCGUAUGGUGGUUGGAUGACGGUUCAUUAAUCACAAAUGGACGGCGAGGCGUUUUAUGCACAGAUUGUUUUCCUUAUAAAGAACAAAAGCUUUUAGUUCGUUACUUGUAUAAAGUAUGGAACAUAAAAGUUGCCAUAGGAAAAAUUCACAGAAAACGGAACGGAAAGCAGUCCGAGUAUUACCGAUUAUGGAUUAGGUCAAGCGAAGAAUUGCAAAAAUUAUUGCGGAUUAUUUUACCGCAUAUCAAAAUAGCUUCGAUGUUGUCUAAGGUAGUGCUUAUGUAUAAAAAUAUUGAUUUACAACAACGCUGGAUCUCUGAAGUUGGUAAAGCGACGGGUUUUUCUCAAAAGGUUAUUGAAGGAUGCCUUAAUGAGAAAAAAUCUCGCUGGAAGAAAUUCAGAGAAUGAUAUAGUCCGAUCCUCUGAGUAAUCAGAGAAAUCUAAUUAUGAAUUUUAAUUGUUUAGAAAUUAGGAUUUAGAAAUUAGAAAUUGCAAUUUUGUAGAGCAAAAUUGUUUGACCCUUGUAGUCCACGCCCUAAACUAUGUUCACUAGCUAUUGGGAGUAUCGACCCUCUCGGUGGCGAAGCUAACGCAUUAAGUGAACCGCCUGGGAAGUACGGUCGCAAGACUAAAACUCAAAGGAAUAGACGGAGACUCGCACAAGCGGUGGAGCAUGAGGUUUAAUUCGAUAGUAAACGAAGAACCUUACCAGGGCUUGAAAUGUUUGCGGAAAUUUUACCGAAAGGUAAAAAAUUUCUCUCAAGGACCGCAAACACAGGUGCUGCAUGGUUGAAUUUUCGACUCCUGCGUCAAAGGCGCAGGUGGCACCCUUUCCGAUUUAAUUGGAAAGAAACUGGCUCAUAACGGUGAAACCCUAAUGUGUUUGUGAUAAAAUAAAUACAUGGGCAAUACCGUGGGAAGCACAAACACUGAUUUUUGCAAUUUGCUUAAAAACAAAACUGCAAAAACUUUUUGUAUCUAUAUUUCAAGGUUAGAAACAAAAAAAUUUCUUUCAGAAAUAUAUCCCUUUUCAACAAAAUUGCAAAAAUCAGUGUUUGUUCCCCGUAGAGACUUGGUCAGCCAAAUGGCAGGCCGGAUAGCGGCUAUUAAGCCGUUAUAAUACGCCAGCCCUACCAAAGUUUUGCUUCGCAAAAUUUAGGUGGGUGAAGGUAUAGUCCGUACCAUUAGAGAUAAUGGAAUAAUAUGGUCGUCAGCUCGUGUCGUGAGAUGUUCCCUUAAGUGGGGUAACGAGCGCAACCCCUAUUGCAUGUUAUAUGUGUCAUGUAAAACUGCCUUGAUUUUCAAGGAGGAAGGCGGGGACGACGUCAAAUCCGCAUGGCCCUUUGAUGCCCUGGGCUACACUCAUGCUACAAUGGAGCCGACAAUGCGUUGCCAAGCCGUAAGGCGGAGCUAAUCGCAUCAAACGGCCCCUCAAUUCGGAUUGAAGGCUGCAACUCGCCUUCAUGAAGUCGGAAUCGCUAGUAAUCGCGAAUCAGCUAUAUCGCGGUGAAUACGUUCUCGAGUCUUGUACUCACUGCCCGUCAAGCCAAGGGAGCCGGGAGUAGAUGAAAUUCUGUUUUUAUGGAAUUAGUUUAAACUCGGUAACAAGGGCUAAGUCGUAACAAGGCACGCGUAGCGGAAGCUGUGCGUGAAAUAAAUAAAAU
This 3386-nucleotide ribosomal RNA is filed under the name Candidatus Liptonbacteria bacterium. RNAcentral's name for it is "bacterial SSU rRNA". It matches the Rfam family "Bacterial small subunit ribosomal RNA". Lineage: Bacteria; Candidatus Liptoniibacteriota. The record is from RNAcentral.